This 245-nucleotide ribosomal RNA is filed under the name uncultured bacterium. RNAcentral's name for it is "partial 16S ribosomal RNA". It matches the Rfam family "Bacterial small subunit ribosomal RNA", at positions 89 to 334 of the family's 1533-position model. The record is from RNAcentral.
UGACGAGUGGCGGACGGGUGAGUAACGCGUGGGUAACCUGCCUCGUACAGGGGGAUAACAGUUGGAAACGGCUGCUAAUACCGCAUAAGCGCACAGUACCGCAUGGUACGGUGUGAAAAACUCCGGUGGUAUGAGAUGGACCCGCGUCUGAUUAGGUAGUUGGUGGGGUAACGGCCUACCAAGCCGACGAUCAGUAGCCGACCUGAGAGGGUGACCGGCCACAUUGGGACUGAGACACGGCCCAA